RNAcentral lists this ribosomal RNA (1478 nucleotides) under uncultured bacterium. RNAcentral describes it as "bacterial SSU rRNA". It matches the Rfam family "Bacterial small subunit ribosomal RNA". The record is from RNAcentral.
GAGAGUUUGAUCCUGGCUCAGGACGAACGCUGGCGGCGCGCCUAACACAUGCAAGUCGAACGGAAUUAAGAGGAGCUUGCUUUUCUUGAUUUAGUGGCGAACGGGUGAGUAACGCGUGAGUAACCUGCCCUGGAGUGGGGGACAACAGUUGGAAACGACUGCUAAUACCGCAUAAGCCCACGGUACCGCAUGGUACUGAGGGAAAAGGAUUUAUUCGCUCUAGGAUGGACUCGCGUCCAAUUAGCUAGUUGGUGAGGUAACGGCCCACCAAGGCGACGAUUGGUAGCCGGACUGAGAGGUUGAACGGCCACAUUGGGACUGAGACACGGCCCAGACUCCUACGGGAGGCAGCAGUGGGGGAUAUUGCACAAUGGGGGAAACCCUGAUGCAGCGACGCCGCGUGGAGGAAGAAGGUUUUCGGAUUGUAAACUCCUGUCGUUAGGGACGAUAAUGACGGUACCUAACAAGAAAGCACCGGCUAACUACGUGCCAGCAGCCGCGGUAAAACGUAGGGUGCAAGCGUUGUCCGGAAUUACUGGGUGUAAAGGGAGCGCAGGCGGACCGGCAAGUUGGAAGUGAAAUCCAUGGGCUCAACCCGUGAAUUGCUUUCAAAACUGCUGGCCUUGAGUAGUGCAGAGGUAGGUGGAAUUCCCGGUGUAGCGGUGGAAUGCGUAGAUAUCGGGAGGAACACCAGUGGCGAAGGCGACCUACUGGGCACCAACUGACGCUGAGGCUCGAAAGCAUGGGUAGCAAACAGGAUUAGAUACCCUGGUAGUCCAUGCCGUAAACGAUGAUUACUAGGUGUUGGAGGAUUGACCCCUUCAGUGCCGCAGUUAACACAAUAAGUAAUCCACCUGGGGAGUACGACCGCAAGGUUGAAACUCAAAGGAAUUGACGGGGGCCCGCACAAGCAGUGGAGUAUGUGGUUUAAUUCGAAGCAACGCGAAGAACCUUACCAGGUCUUGACAUCCGAUGCAUAGUGCAGAGAUGCAUGAAGUCCUUCGGGACAUCGAGACAGGUGGUGCAUGGUUGUCGUCGGCUCGUGUCGUGAGAUGUUGGGUUAAGUCCCGCAACGAGCGCAACCCCUAUUGUUAGUUGCUACGCAAGAGCACUCUAGCGAGACUGCCGUUGACAAAACGGAGGAAGGUGGGGACGACGUCAAAUCAUCAUGCCCCUUAUAUCCUGGGCUACACACGUAAUACAAUGGCGGUCAACAGAGGGAAGCAAAGCCGCGAGGCAGAGCAAACCCCCAAAAGCCGUCCCAGUUCGGAUCGUAGGCUGCAACUCGCCUGCGUGAAGUCGGAAUCGCUAGUAAUCGCGGAUCAGCAUGCCGCGGUGAAUACGUUCCCGGGCCUUGUACACACCGCCCGUCACACCAUGAGAGUCGGGAACACCCGAAGUCCGUAGCCUAACCUGAGAAGGAGGGCGCGGCCGAAGGUGGGUUCGAUAAUUGGGGUGAAGUCGUAACAAGGUAGCCG